UCCUACGGGAGGCAGCAGUGGGGAAUAUUGCGCAAUGGGGGAAACCCUGACGCAGCAACGCCGCGUGAGUGAUGAAGGUUUUCGGAUCGUAAAACUCUGUCUUUAGGGACGAUAAUGACGGUACCUAAGGAGGAAGCCACGGCUAACUACGUGCCAGCAGCCGCGGUAAUACGUAGGUGGCAAGCGUUGUCCGGAUUUACUGGGCGUAAAGAGUAUGUAGGUGGGUGCUUAAGUCAGAUGUGAAAUUCCCGGGCUUAACCUGGGCGCUGCAUUUGAAACUGGGCAUCUAGAGUGCAGGAGAGGAAAGUGGAAUUCCUAGUGUAGCGGUGAAAUGCGUAGAGAUUAGGAAGAACACCAGUGGCGAAGGCGACUUUCUGGACUGUAACUGACACUGAGAUACGAAAGCGUGGGUAGCAAACAGGAUUAGAUACCCUGGUAGUCC
RNAcentral lists this ribosomal RNA (442 nucleotides) under uncultured bacterium. Its description in RNAcentral is "bacterial SSU rRNA". It matches the Rfam family "Bacterial small subunit ribosomal RNA", at positions 337 to 796 of the family's 1533-position model. The record is from RNAcentral.